AGUGAACGCUGGCGGUAGGCCUAACACAUGCAAGUCGAACGGCAGCACAGUAAGAGCUUGCUCUUACGGGUGGCGAGUGGCGGACGGGUGAGGAAUACAUCGGACUCUACUUUUUCGUGGGGGAUAACGUAGGGAAACUUACGCUAAUACCGCAUACGACUUACGGGUGAAAGCAGGGGAUCUUCGGACCUUGCGCGAUUGAAUUAGCCGAUGUCGGAUUAGCUAGUUGGCGGGGUAAAGGCCCACCAAGGCGACGAUCCGUAGCUGGUCUGAGAGGAUGAUCAGCCACACUGGAACUGAGACACGGUCCAGACUCCUACGGGAGGCAGCAGUGGGGAAUAUUGGACAAUGGGCGCAAGCCUGAUCCAGCCAUACCGCGUGGGUGAAGAAGGCCUUCGGGUUGUAAAGCCCUUUUGUUGGGAAAGAAAAGCAGCAGGUUAAUACCCCGCUGUUCUGACGGUACCCAAAGAAUAAGCACCGGCUAACUUCGUG
RNAcentral lists this ribosomal RNA (492 nucleotides) under uncultured bacterium. RNAcentral's name for it is "partial 16S ribosomal RNA". It matches the Rfam family "Bacterial small subunit ribosomal RNA", at positions 29 to 507 of the family's 1533-position model. The record is from RNAcentral.